UACUUUAGUGCUGUGGCAAGUUAAUUCAAGAACUACUUGAGGGGCUUCCCUGGUGGCGCGGUGGUUGAGAAUCUGCCUGCCAAUGCAGGGGACACGGGUUCGAGCCCUGGUCUGGGAAGAUCCCACAUGCCGCGGAGCAACUAGGCCCACGAGCCACAAUUACUGAGCCUGCGCGUCUGGAGCCUGUGCUCCGCAACAAGAGAGGCCGCGAUAAUGAGAGGCCCGCGCACCGCGAUGAAGAGUGGCCCCCAGUUGCCACAACUAGAGAAAGCCCUCGCACAGAAACGAAGACCCAACACAGCCAUAAAUAAAUAAUUUUUUUUUUCUUUCUGUAAACAGAAGAACGGGAUUAUUGGAAAGAUGACAACGCAAGACUGAAGCAAAUACCCCGCAUGAAGAUCUGGGUGCUUGUGCCAGGUGGAGCUUGGCGACGGAGCCGAUACUCACCUUGCUCGGUUCCCUCGUGAGAUUUCGUUUGAAGAAGUUUGGCGCUGCUCAGUCGCCGUAGCUACACCCUUCGCGGAAGCGACCGGGAGCGUGGAGACCACAGUUUACUGAGUUGUCUCACUGGCUUACCGUUGAUGGCCAUGCCCAAGGCUCACUUUUACACCUUGAUUCGAGUCUGCAUUCGGAAUGCCCGCGGACUUCCUUGUGCCCAGUAAGCAAAGAAACUCGCCGUUGGCCUGGUGCUAGGAUAGCGUCACGGGUACACGCGCCUUUGUAGGGAGCAGGGGGCGGGGUGACAGGGGCACCAACCCUCCGGGAGAAGAGGGCCCCGCCUCCAGGCCACGCACCCCCCUGGUUGGAGGCAGCGCGGGGGCGGAGCAAGGUCCUGGCUCAAAGCCUAGGAGUGACCUUUCUUAUUACAAGGGCUUUCUUAUCUUUCAGCGCCCUGGAGGCUAGCCUUUCCGGGUUUCGGUGAGCCCCAGAAUUAAGGGGUACAACGUCAAAAGGCAGAUGUGGACAAAGGGCUAAGAGUGCAAGGGGCUGGUGACGGGACUGCGUUGGAGAUUUAGGCUUGAGUUACAGAGAGAUUUUCUUGCUCUGCCUGAGAGUUGAAACCAAACUUUCAGAGUUGUAGAGCCAUAGCUGUCUGUUUGGCAUCUCCAGCCGUAGCUUCACUUCGCUUACUGUAGGCAGUUUGCCCAAAAUUGAAAUCGUGUUCCCUCCAAAAGCUGAUCUUCUCCCACUAUUCCUUAUUUUGAUGAAUGGCCCACCAUAACCUAGAUUCUCAAGCCAGAAAUAUGGGGGUUAUUUCUGUCGUUCUUCUCGUACAUCCUAUUAAUCAAAAAGACCUAUUGACUCCAUUUCUAAAAAUAGGUAACUGAUAAGAACCUAUGUAUAGCAUAGGGACCUCUACUCGAUACUCUGUAAUGCCCUAUAUGGGAAAAGACUCUAAAAAAGAGUGACUAUAUGUAUAUGUAUAACUGAUUCACUUUGCUGUACAGCAGAAACUACACAACAUUGUAAAUCAACUAUACGCCAAUAAAAGUUAAUUUUAAAAAAAAUCUCCAAAUUACCCUCUCUUCAACAUUUCCUCUGCAUUACUUCUGGUCUCAAUUUUUCCCAAUAGGUUUCUAUCUGUUACCCCUGCCCACGUACAAUCAAUUCUCAAUUAUGGAGCAGAGUGAUCUUUCCAUGAUGUAAACAUUUCUCUGGAGUAAUCCUGCUUAAAAUAUUUUAAGCACAAAAUUCAAACACCUAAAUGUGCUCUGACUCUGCUUGCUUUCGUGCCCAACCCUGUCUCCAAUCUAGCUAGUACUUCUGUUGCCUGAAGAGUAUUCAGUAUAGUUCCCUGUGCUAUACAGUAGAACCUUGUUGUUUAUCCAUUUUAUAUAUAAUAGUUUACAUCUACUAACCCCAAACUCCCAAUCCAUCCCUCCCCACCCUCCUCCCUCUUUGCAACCACAAGUCUGCUCUAUGUCUGUGGGUCUGUUUCUGUUUUGUUGAUAGGUUCAUUUGUGUCAUAUUUUAGAUUCCACAUAUAAGUGAUAUCAUAUGGUAUUUGUCUUUUUCUUUCUGACUUACUUCACCUAGUAUGAGAAUCUCUAAGUCCAUCAACGUAGGAAGCAACAAAAUUAAGAACCAUUAAAAGAUACUGCCUAUGGGCAACUUGUGUGUCAACAUACGUUAAUGGGUGUUUUUUAUGUGCAUGUGCUUAGUUUGCUCUGCUCAACCUCUUUGUACUUACACUUUUUCUUAUCAGUUCCAGAGGAAAGAGAAAAGCUGGAAUAGAAAUUCAAAACAAUAAGAAAAUCAUACAUGGGUUGCUUUGUCUGUUAGUGCAUAGACUCUGGCUUGAGAAAAGGUUUUGAAAUUAAUUUUAGAAAAGAUUAUCAAAGAGAACUUUAAUAAUGCGCUUAAUAUUUGCAAUGUCUACAGCACAUAGCUCAUUGUGUUUACUUUUUCUGAUUUUGAUCAGCCUGGUUUAAUAAAUGAAAACUAUUAGGAUACUGGUUCAUUUAUGUUAGUUCAUUAGCUAUAAACAUUUGCAAACAUUUCUGUUAACCUCAGAAAUUAGAAUUUAAACUUGAUGUGAUGCAGUAUUAAUGUUUCUUAAUUUUUGUUGAGAAGAGAAAAAGAACUGCUUAUCUAUAGACGAUGUUGAAAGGUUUGUGAUUUUCCUGUGUCAUUUUAUGUAUUUUAUUUUUGCUAUUUCCUGAUUAUCUUUUUCAAUGCUUCUCGUUUUAUUUUGUUGUGAAUCAUUUCAUGGGAGAAGGCAUAGAUUUUUACCAAAAUUUGUUUCCAGGAACUUGACUUUUAUCAAUGAAACAUUUUAAAAAAACUUUUA
Molecule: long non-coding RNA, 2791 nt
Organism: Balaenoptera acutorostrata (minke whale)
Lineage: Eukaryota; Metazoa; Chordata; Mammalia; Artiodactyla; Balaenopteridae
Exons: 2
Source: RefSeq, a predicted model, not a curated record